RNAcentral lists this ribosomal RNA (371 nucleotides) under uncultured bacterium. RNAcentral describes it as "bacterial SSU rRNA". It matches the Rfam family "Bacterial small subunit ribosomal RNA", at positions 527 to 896 of the family's 1533-position model. The record is from RNAcentral.
AGAGGGUGCAAACGUUGUUCGGAAUUACUGGGCGUAAAGCGCGUGUAGGCGGCAGGGUGUGUCGGAUGUGAAAUCCCGUGGCUCAACCACGGAAGUGCACCCGAAACUACCCAGCUCGAGUCUCGGAGAGGAAGGUGGAAUGCUUGGUGUAGAGGUGAAAUUCGUAGAUAUCAAGCGGAACACCGGUGGCGAAGGCGGCCUUCUGGACGAUGACUGACGCUGAGACGCGAAAGCGUGGGGAGCAAACAGGAUUAGAUACCCUGGUAGUCCACGCCGUAAACGAUGAGUGCUAGGUGUCACGGGCUUUGACCCCUGUGGUGCCGUAGCUAACGCAGUAAGCACUCCGCCUGGGGAGUACGGCCGCAAGGCUA